RNAcentral lists this long non-coding RNA (250 nucleotides) under Actinidia chinensis (golden kiwifruit). Its description in RNAcentral is "long non-coding RNA (ACHI_LNC001147)". The record is from RNAcentral. Lineage: Eukaryota; Viridiplantae; Streptophyta; Magnoliopsida; Ericales; Actinidiaceae.
GGAGUUUUCCUUAAGAAAGAUGAUAUAUUCAGUGGUAGUUGUCAGUUGUUUACACUUGUUCCAAGCAAAGGAUGGUAGUGUUGGUCAUGAUUAGAUCGACUUUCUAAUUAAAAAAUUGAAAGAAUUCAAAGUUAGGGAUAAAAAGGUCGGAGGAAUUGUCAGCAAAAGAAAAAGUGUGCAAAUCUUCUAGGAAUGAUAAGGAACUUAAACAUCUUGAAUGUUCGAUUAAUUACGAUAGGAAGAAGAAUAA